UUUUCACAAGUAUAAAACUUUGUAUAUCUGACUUCCAAUCAGAAGGGCUGACUAUAAAUCAGGUGAAAUU
Molecule: transfer RNA, 70 nt
Filed under: Ophiactis savignyi
Lineage: Eukaryota; Metazoa; Echinodermata; Ophiuroidea; Amphilepidida; Ophiactidae
Description: tRNA-Gly
Source: RNAcentral